GAAGACAGACAGCCCGUGACCAAAUUCUGAGAACUCCAACCAUUCACUGGUUGAGUGGAAGAGAACAAGCUCAGAAAAUAAAUGGAGAAAACAUGGUAGGAGGAGCAGAAGAAAAAUGAGGAGAAUGCUGUCUCAUGGAAGACAAGCUAGCAAAGCUUGGAGAAGCCUGAACAAGCUGGUCACCCUCACUGUCAAAGACUUUCAUUUCCACGGAAGGGAAACUGAUGACCUGGGACCAUUGGAAGAACUAGUUAGUAAUUAAUCAGUUGCAUAAUCUUCCCUUAUCCUCUUUUCUAAUUUCCCUUCAGGACUUUAAGGACCCCUUUGAAGAUGAAAAGAAAGAAAGUUUGAGUGGACUCAAUUAAAGUGGGAAGCAGGUGUCUAGGUUCCAGGGCUGCUCAACUCUGGAUUCUGGCAGUUGAUAGAGGGCCUGGCCUUUUUUCUCAGUCAAUUGAGCACUAGCCCAGGGUGUUCAGGAGAUGCUCCCAUUUUGUUAGAGUUUGGAGAGAGGGAAAGCUUAACUUCCUGUCCAAGAAGAAAGCCACAGGGAGGUAGG
Long non-coding RNA from Homo sapiens (human), 556 nucleotides. Ensembl annotates it as GRID1 antisense RNA 1. Its record names the gene GRID1-AS1. The record is from Ensembl. NCBI's taxonomy places the organism in Eukaryota, Metazoa, Chordata, Mammalia, Primates, Hominidae.